This 497-nucleotide ribosomal RNA is filed under the name uncultured bacterium. RNAcentral's name for it is "partial 16S ribosomal RNA". It matches the Rfam family "Bacterial small subunit ribosomal RNA", at positions 28 to 507 of the family's 1533-position model. The record is from RNAcentral.
GAUGAACGCUGGCGGCGUGCCUAAUACAUGCAAGUCGAGCGAACAGACGAGAAGCUUGCUCCUCUGACGUUAGCGGCGGACGGGUGAGUAACACGUGGAUAACCUACCUAUAAGACUGGGAUAACUUCGGGAAACCGGAGCUAAUACCGGAUAAUAUAUUGAACCGCAUGGUUCAAUAGUGAAAGACGGUUUUGCUGUCACUUAUAGAUGGAUCCGCGCCGCAUUAGCUAGUUGGUAAGGUAACGGCUUACCAAGGCGACGAUGCGUAGCCGACCUGAGAGGGUGAUCGGCCACACUGGAACUGAGACACGGUCCAGACUCCUACGGGAGGCAGCAGUAGGGAAUCUUCCGCAAUGGGCGCAAGCCUGACGGAGCAACGCCGCGUGAGUGAUGAAGGUCUUCGGAUCGUAAAACUCUGUUAUUAGGGAAGAACAAAUGUGGAAGUAACUAUGCACGUCUUGACGGUACCUAAUCAGAAAGCCACGGCUAACUACGUG